AUUGAACGCUGGCGGCAGGCCUAACACAUGCAAGUCGAACGGUAACAGGAAGAAGCUUGCUUCUUUGCUGACGAGUGGCGGACGGGUGAGUAAUGUCUGGGAAACUGCCUGAUGGAGGGGGAUAACUACUGGAAACGGUAGCUAAUACCGCAUAACGUCGCAAGACCAAAGAGGGGGACCUUCGGGCCUCUUGCCAUCGGAUGUGCCCAGAUGGGAUUAGCUAGUAGGUGGGGUAACGGCUCACCUAGGCGACGAUCCCUAGCUGGUCUGAGAGGAUGACCAGCCACACUGGAACUGAGACACGGUCCAGACUCCUACGGGAGGCAGCAGUGGGGAAUAUUGCACAAUGGGCGCAAGCCUGAUGCAGACAUGCCGCGUGUAUGAAGAAGGCCUUCGGGUUGUAAAGUACUUUCAGCGGGUAGGAAGGGAGUAAAGUUAAUACCUUUACUCAUUGACGUUACCCGCAGAAGAAGCACCGGCUAACUCCGUG
Molecule: ribosomal RNA, 490 nt
Filed under: uncultured bacterium
Lineage: Bacteria
Description: partial 16S ribosomal RNA
Rfam family: Bacterial small subunit ribosomal RNA
Source: RNAcentral